GAUGAACGCUGGCGGUGUGCCUAAUACAUGCAAGUCGAGCGAACAGACGAGGAGCUUGCUACACUGACGUUAGCGGCGGACGGGUGAGUAACAUGUGGUUGACCUAUCUCUAAGACUGGGAUCACUUCGGGAAACCGGAGCUAAAAACGGAUAAUCUAUUCAACUGCAUGGUUGAAUAGUGUAAUAUGGUUUUGGUGUCACUUAUAGACGGAUCGUCGGCGAGUUAGCUAGUUGGUAAGGUAAGGGUCUACCAAGGGCACGAGGUGGAGCCGACCCGAGAGGGUGAUCGGCCACACUGGAACUGAGACAGGGUCCAGAGGCCUACGGGAGGCAGCAGUAGGGAAUCGUCCGCAAUGGGCGGAAACCUGACGGAGCAGCGCCGCGUGCGUGAUGAAGGUCUUCGGAUCGUAAAACUCUGUUAUUAGGGAAGAACAAAUGUGUAAGUAACUAUGCACGUCUUGACGGUACCUAAUCAGAAAGCCACGGCUAACUACGUG
RNAcentral lists this ribosomal RNA (497 nucleotides) under uncultured bacterium. RNAcentral describes it as "partial 16S ribosomal RNA". It matches the Rfam family "Bacterial small subunit ribosomal RNA", at positions 28 to 507 of the family's 1533-position model. The record is from RNAcentral.